This 191-nucleotide long non-coding RNA is filed under the name Oryctolagus cuniculus (rabbit). RNAcentral's name for it is "lncRNA (ENSOCUG00000033241.1)". The record is from RNAcentral. Lineage: Eukaryota; Metazoa; Chordata; Mammalia; Lagomorpha; Leporidae.
AGUGUUGAAAUUUAACUGAAUUGUGAUCCCUUUCCAAAGACUUUGUAUGGAAGGAACUGGGUCUACGGUGGAGAAACCUAACACCGUCUCAGCGGGGAUCAGGCGGAAAAAAGCUAUCAGAGGCUGGUGGUGUGGCGCCCUGGGCUAAGCCAUCUGUGACACCAGCAUCCCAAGUUGGAGCACCGUUUGAG